Molecule: ribosomal RNA, 475 nt
Filed under: uncultured bacterium
Lineage: Bacteria
Description: bacterial SSU rRNA
Rfam family: Bacterial small subunit ribosomal RNA
Source: RNAcentral
AUUACUCCUACGGGAGGCAGCAGUGAGGAAUAUUGCGCAAUGGGGGCAACCCUGACGCAGCAACGCCGCGUGAGUGAGGAAGGUUUUCGGACCGUAAAGCUCUGUCGAGCGGGAAGAAAUGCAUAGUGGCUAAUAUCCAUUAUGCUUGACGGUACCGCUAAAGGAAGCACCGGCUAACUCCGUGCCAGCAGCCGCGGUAAUACGGGGGGUGCUAGCGUUGUUCGGAAUCAUUGGGCGUAAAGAGCGUGUAGGCGGCUGGAUAAGUCAGAUGUGAAAGCCCUGGGCUUAACCCAGGAAGUGCAUUUGAAACUGUUCAGCUUGAGUAAGGGAGAGGAAAGUGGAAUUCCUGGUGUAGAGGUGAAAUUCGUAGAUAUCAGGAGGAACACCGGUGGCGAAGGCGACUUUCUGGCCCUAUACUGACGCUGAGACGCGAGAGCGUGGGUAGCAAACAGGAUUAGAUACCCUGGUAGUCAAU